UACAGAGGUGGCAAGCGUUGUCCGGAAUUACUGGGCGUAAAGGGCGCGUAGGCGGCCCGUCAAGUCCCGUGUGAAAGCCCCCGGCUCAACCGGGGAACGGCGCGGGAAACUAGCAGGCUUGAGUUCGGGAGAGGGAAGCGGAAUUCCGGGUGUAGCGGUGAAAUGCGCAGAUAUCCGGAGGAACACCGGUGGCGAAGGCGGCUUCCUGGACCGACACUGACGCUGAGGCGCGAAAGCUAGGGGAGCAAACGGG
This 253-nucleotide ribosomal RNA is filed under the name uncultured bacterium. RNAcentral describes it as "partial 16S ribosomal RNA". It matches the Rfam family "Bacterial small subunit ribosomal RNA", at positions 524 to 776 of the family's 1533-position model. The record is from RNAcentral.